CCUACGGGAGGCAGCAGUGAGGAAUAUUGGUCAAUGGGCGGGAGCCUGAACCAGCGAAGCCGCGUGAGGGAAGGAGGUACAGCGUAUCGUAAACCUCUUUUGUCAGGGAACAACGGCGCGGACUAGUCCCCGGAUGAGGGUACCUGAAGAAAACGCAUCGGCUAACUCCGUGCCAGCAGCCGCGGUAAUACGGGGGAGGCGAGCGUUAUCCGGAUUUAUGGGGGUAAAUGGGUGCGCAGGCGGCCUGUUAAGGCAGCGGUAAAAGCCCGGGGCUCAACCCCGGCGAGCCGUUGAAACUGGCGGGCUGGAGUGGGAGAGAAGUACGCGGAAUGCGCGGUGUAGCGGUGAAAUGCUUAGAUAGCGGGCAGAACCCCGAUUGCGAAGGCAGCGUACCGGCGCCACACUGACGCUGAGGCACGAAAGCGUGGGUAUCGAACAGGAUUAGAGACCCUAGUAGUC
This 459-nucleotide ribosomal RNA is filed under the name uncultured bacterium. RNAcentral's name for it is "partial 16S ribosomal RNA". It matches the Rfam family "Bacterial small subunit ribosomal RNA", at positions 338 to 795 of the family's 1533-position model. The record is from RNAcentral.